GCCGGGCCGGCCCGGAGCGUCGCAGCACCCGAGCCGGCGGCGAGGCGCUGCGACCGCGGAGGGUCGGGCGGGAGCGGGGGUCCGAGGGCAGCAACAGGAAUCCGCGCUGGCCCGGGCGCCCUAAUAAAUCAGAGCGGGAGGGCGGGCGCGUGGACGGCGGAGCGGCUGGGGACCGCGGCUGGGCGGCGGGGCGGCCGGGACAGGGCAGGGGCCUCGGCCCGGAACAAAGGCCGCACGCCCGGUUGCUUUGGGGGCGCAUGUUUCGGUAGCAACCAGGACACUUUGGCUGCGUCCCACAUUUAGGUGGAAGGCCUAUAAAUACGAUGACCCUCGAGGACCAGGAGAAUUCCUCGGCAGGUCGGCGAACGUGCAUGAGACACACAUUACAAAAAGCUGGCGCUCACAACGAACCCCGGGUCACACGGAGGUGCCCAGGCUCUCUUGGGUCGGGGCCUAUCUGCAGCAUGUUCCGUGUUUUCUUGCAUUACUCUGUGUUUUGAAUUCAUUUGAGUCAGCAGUAAAAACAGGCAAACAAA
Long non-coding RNA from Cavia porcellus (domestic guinea pig), 536 nucleotides. RefSeq lists it as uncharacterized. The record is from RefSeq and is a predicted model, not a curated record. Lineage: Eukaryota; Metazoa; Chordata; Mammalia; Rodentia; Caviidae. The transcript has 3 exons.